This 88-nucleotide transfer RNA is filed under the name Thermoprotei archaeon. Its description in RNAcentral is "tRNA-Ala". It matches the Rfam family "tRNA". Rfam says of the family: Transfer RNA (tRNA) molecules are approximately 80 nucleotides in length. Lineage: Archaea; Thermoproteati; Thermoproteota; Thermoprotei. The record is from RNAcentral.
GCGGGGGUGCCCGAGCCAGGUUAAAGGGGGCGGUCCGGCUAUCCGCUGGCGUAGGCCUGCCCGGGUUCGAAUCCCGGCCCCCGCACCA